AUUAUAAAUAACUUGUUAAAUAAAGUAAAAGUUGAAUCUAUAAGAAAAAUAAUUUGAAAGUUGAAAUUGUUAGUAAUUUUUAAUAAAUCCAGCUAGAGACGAUAGUUUAAAGUACUGUAAAGGAAAGGAAGAAAAUCUUGAAUAGUAAAUUUUAAAGUUUGUACCUUGUGUAUCAGGGAAAAUUUAUAUAAGUUAAUAAUAAUUAAUAAUCUCGAAAUAAAAUAUAGCUAAUUUUAUAAAAAUUUUUUUGUAGAAAAUAAAUUUUAAAUAUAAAAUUAAAGGUGAGACGCUAAUCGAGUUUUAUAAUAUCUAGUUUUUUAAAAAAAAAUUUAAUUUAAUUUUUAUAUUUUAUAAUAUAUAAAAUUUAAGUGUAGGAGGGAUUAGCUUCUUAUAAAUUAAAGUAGAAAAGAGUUUAGUAAAAAUUAAUUGAUUAAUUAAGCUUAAAAGUAGCUAUAUUAAUAAAGUGUUCUAACUAAAUCAAAACUAAAAUAAUAUUUAGAAAAACUUUUUAUGGUAUUAAAAAAUUAAUUUAAACUAAAAUAGUUAAGUUAUAAUGAUUUUAUUAGUAUAGAUUUACUGUAAAAAAAGAUAUUUAAAUAAUAAAAAUUAUUUAAAAUUAAAGGGACAGCAUAAAGGAACUCGGCAAAUAUAAUUUCUUUGCCUGUUUAUCAAAAACAUGUCUAUUUGGAGAUAUAAAAAGUUUAACCUGCCCACUGAUAAUUAAAUAUUAAAUGGCCGCGGUAUUUUGACCGUGCAAAGGUAGCAUAAUCGUUAGUUUUUUAAUUGGAAUCUUGUAUGAAUGGUUGGACAAAAGAAAAUCUGUCUUUAUACUGUUUAUUGAAUUUAACUUUUAAGUGAAAAGGCUUAAAUGAAUUAAAGGGACGAUAAGACCCUAUAAAGCUUAAUAUUAAAAUUUUAUUUAGUUGAAUUUUAUAUAAUAAAAACUUAGUGGAUUAUAUUUAUUUUAUUGGGGCGAUAGAAGUAAAAUGAUUAAUAACUGCUUAAUUUUUUAUACAUUAAUAAUUGAUUAACCAAUUUAAAUGAUCCUAAUUAAAGAUCAAAAGUUCAAGUUACUUUAGGGAUAACAGCGUUAUUUUUCUUAAGAGUACUUAUCGAAAGAAAAGUUUGCGACCUCGAUGUUGAAUUAAAAUGUCUU
Molecule: ribosomal RNA, 1156 nt
Filed under: Cyclograpsus intermedius
Lineage: Eukaryota; Metazoa; Arthropoda; Malacostraca; Decapoda; Varunidae
Description: 16S ribosomal RNA
Source: RNAcentral